UGGGGAAUUUUGGACAAUGGGCGAAAGCCUGAUCCAGCGAUGCCGCGUGUGUGAAGAAGGCCUUCGGGUUGUAAAGCACUUUUGUCCGGAAAGAAAUCCUUGGCUCUAAUACAGUCGGGGGAUGACGGUACCGGAAGAAUAAGCACCGGCUAACUACGUGCCAGCAGCCGCGGUAAUACGUAGGGUGCAAGCGUUAAUCGGAAUUACUGGGCGUAAAGCGUGCGCAGGCGGUUUGCUAAGACCGAUGUGAAAUCCCCGGGCUCAACCUGGGAACUGCAUUGGUGACUGGCAGGCUAGAGUAUGGCAGAGGGGGGUAGAAUUCCACGUGUAGCAGUGAAAUGCGUAGAGAUGUGGAGGAAUACCGAUGGCGAAGGCAGCCCCCUGGGCCAAUACUGACGCUCAUGCACGAAAGCGUGGGGAGCAAACAGGAUUAGAUACCCUGGUAGUCCACGCCCUAAACGAUGUCAACUAGUUGUUGGGGAUUCAUUUCCUUAGUAACGUAGCUAACGCGUGAAGUUGACCGCCUGGGGAGUACGGUCGCAAGAUUAAAACUUAAAGGAAUUGACGGGGUCAUAGCUGUUUCCU
This 585-nucleotide ribosomal RNA is filed under the name uncultured bacterium. RNAcentral describes it as "partial 16S ribosomal RNA". It matches the Rfam family "Bacterial small subunit ribosomal RNA", at positions 355 to 1375 of the family's 1533-position model. The record is from RNAcentral.